AGAGUUUGAUCCUGGCUCAGAAUGAACGCUGGCGGCGUGCCUAACACAUGCAAGUCGGAUGUGCCCGCAAGGGUGCAUGGCAGACGGGUGAGUAACGCGUGGGGAAUCUACCUCUUUGUGGGGAAUAACGCUCCGAAAGGAGUGGUAAUACCGCAUGAGAUCCAUGGCUGGAAUGUUGUGGAUGAAACCUGGGGGCCUUCGGGCCUGGGGCAAGGAGAGGAUCCUGCGUCUGAUUAGCUAGUUGGUGAGGUAACGGCCCACCAAGGCAACGAUCAGUAGCCGGCCUGAGAGGGUGAUCGGCCACACUGGAACUGAGACACGGUCCAGACUCCUACGGGAGGCAGCAGUGGGGAAUUUUGCGCAAUGGGCGAACUCCUCUUUUUUAAGGGUCAACGCCGCGUGGGUG
RNAcentral lists this ribosomal RNA (406 nucleotides) under uncultured bacterium. RNAcentral's name for it is "bacterial SSU rRNA". It matches the Rfam family "Bacterial small subunit ribosomal RNA", at positions 8 to 407 of the family's 1533-position model. The record is from RNAcentral.